AAACUUGACUUUGGGCUAUAAGUUUAAUCAUAGGAUUUUGAUCCAGAGUUCAAUUAAAGCGUAAGUUCUAAAAAGUUUCUAAAGUACUUAAGAGUGCUAACACCAAUUAAAGUUUUUCUAGAGAACUAUAUCUUAAUAUCUAUAUAAAAAAAAAAUAAAAGAUUUGUAAGAUAAAAAGUUUAGCUUACGUAGCGGAAUAUUUUCUAGAGAUUAUGAUAUAAUAAAUAAGAUAUUUUCUAAUUUUGGAACAUAUAGCUAGUUCUUCUUUCUUUCCUUUUCUAACAAAAUCAAACAAGUUAAAUAAAAAGAUAUAAAAUUGUUCUUUAAAUUCCUUUAAACUCGGUGUAUUUGAAUCUAGACUUCUAUUUUGGAGAUUACUAGUUAAAGCCGCUGAGAGAGGAAAAUUUCACUGUUUUCCAUGGAUUUUAUGGUUUUUAUGGAAAACCAGGAAUGAAAAGGUAUUUUAAGGUAUAUAAUCUGAACCAAUAGAUAUAAUAGAUCACGCUUUAAGUGAACAAUUAAUCUGUGAAGAAACUCAAUUGAUUCCGAUCGAAUCAGUUGAAAAUAGAGAAACAUUCAACAAUUAUACUCAAAUUCUAAUAUGUCGGAUUGACAUUUCGUGGAAACAAUUGGAUCCUACCAUAAGUUUAGGAUGGUGGUGCUUUCGGAGAGACCAUCUUACAAUUCUAUUAGGAGCAAAAUGUCACCGGACGAGCUCAUCUCUUCUUCACGCGUAAACAGAAGCUCUUUUAUGCGGUAUGAAAAUGAUCCUCUUCAAAAGGAUUGAUUGUCAGAUAUUCAAGAUAGAUAGUACAAAACUAGUUUUGAUGGUGCAGGCGCCGGAGGAGUGGCCCAUUCCAAUCAGAUAGACGAAAUUGGUUUGCUUCGUGAUUCAUUUCCUUCUUUCUUGCUUUCUAAUAUUCCUCGCUCAUGUAAUGUGAUAUAUCAUGGAUUUUACCGUUUUUAUCCAUGAUAUAUAUGUCAAUUUUAGAGUUUUUUUGUUAUUUCUAGAGUCUUUUCUAGUCCUUUUCAGGUCUUUACACUAGGCCUGGGAAUUCGAACCGUUCGGUUUAUUCGGUUUCGGUUACUCAGUUUUUCGGUUUUUUUGGAAGAUGAAAGCUAUUCCGAAAUUAACCAAUUAAGAUUUCGGUUCGGUUCGGUUCGGUUCGGACACAGUUUAUUUCGGUUUUUGAAUUCGGUUAUUUCGGUUAAAAGAAUUUGGGCCAAAUAGUCUAUAAUGGGCCAAAUAAUUUUUAAUGGGCCAAUCCAAAACAAAAAAAAAGGUUUAAAAAAAAUGUAUUGAAAAAAAAAAAGACGAAGAAGAUGAAUCGAGGAGGAGAUGCCAGCGGCUGAGAUCUCCUGAAGCUCGCGGUGUAAUCGGCGAAGCAGAUGAUUGAAGAAAAACAGGAGAAAAGAAGUGUAAAUCAAAGAAGAACAUGAUGAUGACGAAACAGAGAAGAAGAUGAUGAUGAUGAAUGGUGAAUUGAAGAAGCAGCAAACAAAUCAGAGAAGAAGAAGAUGAUGGUGAUGAUGAAUCGAAGAAGAAGAGAGAGGGUUAUGGAAAGAGAAGAUCAAGAACAAAAUAAUUGAAGAAGAACUCAAGAAGCGUAGGCGGCUGGGAUAUUAAGGUUAGGGUUUUUGGUUUCUUUGGUUAAACCGAAAAUUUUGGUUAACCGAAUCAAAAUUUAAACAUUCUGACCGGUUUUACUCAAUUAACAAGAACCGACCGAUUUGUCCAAAUCUCGGUUCGGACAAAUCGGUUUGGUUCGGUUCGAAUUCCCAGGCCUACUUUACACGUUCAGAACCAAUUUGGAGAUUAUGGAUCAUUCUGGAGCAAAACCGAGAAGUUAUGCCACAAGAGCAAUCCGGAGACCAAAUACGUGCAAAUGUCGAUCGACACCACCCCUACUAUUGGUCGACACCAACAUCUGACGGCAAUUCGAUUUCGAGUCUCUUUGAAGUUAUGAAGAUUUGCAGAAUCUCCCCAGAACAUUUCUCUAUUUACAAAGAAGUCUCUGCACGUUUUUAAGAACAUAUAAAUAGAUUUUUAGGAUUUUGUUUUAGAGACAUCUCUCAAUCUCUUAUUCUGUUGUAUUCUUUGGAACUUGAACUCUUUGAGAGAUAAUUGGAGAGAGCUCCUCCAGAGAAGAUCUUUCUUAACUCUAUUUUCUUCUUUGUUUUCUUAAUGCAAUUCUAUUCAAUCAUUUUGUUUGUUUCAAUCUUCAUGUCUGAGUAGUUUGCUUGUUAGGUUUAGGGAUUCUCAUUAGGGAUUUAAUUAGAUGAAUUAGUAGAUCGAUUACAUGUUAGGAUUAAUCUUUAGAGUUCUUCACUUUAUGUUGUUCUUAAUGCUAGUUCUAGAGUAGCUAACUAGAACUUGAUCAUAGGAUAAUAGGUAGAUUCAAGAGGUCACCUGUUACUGGAACUAUAUUAGGUGGGCAAAAAUUAGAUACAUUCGAGAGGUGGUCUAGGAAUAUCUGUGAACAUAUCAAACCUGUUAUUAAUGCUAGUCUAAUUCUAGGAGUUUACAUUCGAGAGGUGGAACUUUCUGAUAUUAGGUUUAGUUAGUCAAUACAUUCGAGAGGUGAUUGACUAUACAUUAGUGAUUUGAGUUCUAGAACAGUUCGAUAAAUAAUCCUAAUUAAUUUGUUAGAUUUACUAUUAGUCUAUUUCCUGAGAAAUCCCUAAAGCUGACGUUUUCCUCAUCUGAUUUAAAACCCGAUUUACUUGCUUUGCUUUUAUUUGAUAUUCUUAUUUUUUGUUUAGCUUAAUUCAAAACAUGUUAGUCUAUUGUGUGAACACGAGAGCUUUGUGGAAUUCGACCCUGAAGUGCUACACACGAUCUCUUAUUUGAGAGAGUAGUCUUAGGUCUAAUUUGACUCACAUCAUAAUGAUAAGACAUAUUGCCUAGCUAGUUACUCUAGAAGUUUAUUUUCUAAAAUUUCAUCUGUAAACACUUUUCCUCCAGAUUGAGCAACCAAUCGUGGAAUGACUUUUUAAAUAAUGUAUGGUUGACAAAAAAAAAAUCUCUUAAGUUUCUUUUUAUUUUAUUUUUCUUCAUACUAAGAAACUUAUUCUCUUGAUUUUUUCAGACAUUAUUACAAUUUUGGAAUAAUGCUAAGUCACUAUCAAAGUUUAUAUACACCUAGGGCCUCCAUAGUCGUGAUCAAACGGACAUAUGAGUCUUCUAUGGGGCUCCCCGUCGGAUACUGACUAUUUCCCAUCGGAGGAUUUGGAGGCGAAGGGCUAUAGACUUCACCACCCCAUUCGACCCUUGUACCAGAACUUUCUUUGAAUCUGCUUGAUGGCCAGAACCCAAUUUCUUCCAAGGAGGUGCCCAUCAACAGCCACCAAUUCCCGUUGAUUUUGUCCUGUACCCAAACUUUAAAUUAUAGCAAAAAAAAAUUUGGGGAACCGCGAUAAUCCAUAUCUGAUCUCAUUUUUGUUAAACUAUAAUUGACAAAAAUUUUCAUUGAA
This is a long non-coding RNA of Arabidopsis lyrata subsp. lyrata, 3474 nucleotides long. RefSeq lists it as uncharacterized. Lineage: Eukaryota; Viridiplantae; Streptophyta; Magnoliopsida; Brassicales; Brassicaceae. The record is from RefSeq and is a predicted model, not a curated record. The transcript has 2 exons.